Molecule: ribosomal RNA, 943 nt
Filed under: uncultured archaeon
Lineage: Archaea
Description: bacterial SSU rRNA
Rfam family: Archaeal small subunit ribosomal RNA
Source: RNAcentral
UCCGGUUGAUCCCGCCAGACCCUACUGCUAUCGGGAUGGGACUAAGACAUGCUAGUCGUGCGCCUCCAAGCCAUGGUGGAGGCGCGGCGCACAGCUCAGUAACACGUGGUUAACCUGCCCUUGGGACGGAAACACCCCCGGGAAACUGGGGCUAAUUUCCGAUAGGUGAAGGCUCCUGGAAUGGAUCUUCGCCUAAAGGGCGCUUAGGCCAUGCUUCUAGGCGCUGCCCAAGGAUGGGGCCGCGGCCGAUCAGGUUGUUGGUGAGGUAAUGGCUCACCAAGCCUUUAACCGGUUCGGGCCGUGGGAGCGGGAGCCCGGAGAUGGGCACUGAGACAAGGGCCCAGGCCCUACGGGGCGCAGCAGUCGCGAAAACUCCGCAAUACGCGAAGGCGUGACGGGGCUAUCCCGAGUGCCGUCCGCUGAGGAUGGCUUUUCCCCAGUGUAGAUAGCUGGGGGAAUAAGGAGAGGGCAAGUCUGGUGUCAGCCGCCGCGGUAAUACCAGCUCUCCGAGUGGUGGGGACGUUUAUUGGGCCUGAAGCAUCCGUAGCCAGCUGAGCAAGUCCCCAGUUAAAUCCAGCGAUUUAAUCGUUGGACUGCUGGGGAUACUGUCCGGCUAGGGGGUGGGAGAGGCCGACGGUAUUCCCGGGGUAGGGGUGAAAUCCUAUAAUCCCGGGAGGACCACCAGUGGCGAAGGCUGUUGGCUAGAACAUGCCCGACGGUGAGGGAUGAAAGCUGGGGGAGCGAACCGGAUUAGAUACCCGGGUAGUCCCAGCUGUAAACGAUGCAGGCUAGGUGUUAGGGCGGCCACGUGCCGCUCUAGUGCCGCAGGGAAGCUGUUAAGCCUGCCGCCUGGGGAGUACGGCCGCAAGGCUGAAACUUAAAGGAAUUGGCGGGGGAGCGCCACAAGGGGUGAAGCUCGCGGUUUAAAUGGAGUCAACGCCGG